ACCUGGCCAAAAGAGCCAAUGGGAAGGCUAGAACUUUUAAAAUUGAAACAAGACUCCCCUUUUGUCUGUCUGUCUGUUGUUCUCCUGGAGAGGAAACAGAGCAGCAAUGAUGUAAAAAGGUUUGAGCCAGUCCCUAGGGUAAAGGGUAUUCACCAUUCUUGGACUGAUAUGCCCAUCUUCCUCCAUUCUCCUAUAACUGUCUGGUCUGACUUUGAGACACAGCCCAUUUCCAGAAGUCAGCUGGCCAUCAGCCAGAGGUACCUUAAGUGGGAGCCCGUGACUCGGAGUACAAAGCCUGUACCCAGCAGGAAGGGGUUAAAGAAUGGUUUUGGGCUCAGGCAACUCACCUCACUGCACCUAUGAGGCCUCCCAGGCUUGAAGGAAGAUCCUUAAAAGGGAGGGAGCCGGUUUUGGGAGAUGGACAGACUGCUCCCUGUUGAUGUCCAAAAAGGAGUAUGGAGGACAAAGUUGCCUGAGUCUUCCUGUGAACACUACACAAAAGUUUUGAGGCCUCUGAGCUGGGCUGCAGCUUAUUAGGUAUCUCCUGAAAGGAGGGAGGCCAGAAACAUGUCUGGACUAUUUUUGUAUUUUGCCUUUCCUUGUUACCUUUCCUCUGAGGUGGACUGGGGAAGAAGGCCUACGGGGGGCUGCAGUAGGAGGCAGUCCAGGGAAGAAGCUGGAGGUCUGAAGUUCUAGACCUUCAAUAUCUGCUACAGGGGCCUUGAGCUACAACCCAGGGUUGAGGGAAGGACUGGGUUCCCUUACAGUCAUCAGAAAAAAGAAUGAUGAAGACUGCGGAGAUAAGUUGUAAGGACUAGCUGGGCUACAGACCUGGUAAGACAUUGCCAGACUGUUGUUGGACUGGACACUUGCCCUGAAGAGAUGGGUCCGAGCAUGAUCUGUCUGGAUGGGGCUAAAUUGCCAGACAGAGGGGACCACCACCACCAGACCCAAGUGAGUGGCUGGCAAGGUGACAAAAAGAGCAAAUGCCAAUGCUGUGUCUGCCACAAGGGGACAUGCUGCUGGUGAGUCACUUUGCAAGCUGCUGUGCAGACAUACCCAGGUGUAAUUCCCAGAAUGGGUCAACGUACAUUUGCUAGCUCUGCUCGAGCAGCAUGGCCGUGGUGGCACAGGCUCAGGGUAUCCACCUAAAUACAAUCCUGCCUGACCCUCUAGGUAUAUACUUGCUCAGCUAGCCUAAGCUGUUGUGGCCAUGCUGCUAUUUGGUGUUAGCUCUAGGAGAACUAGCACCUGUUUGUCUACCAUGCUGGGAAUUACACCUCCCACCUGCUGUGUAGGCACAUCCUUUGUCACAAAGCCCUACUGCUCAGCUGGCUUCUGACCUUUUUAUCAGUUCAUUUUAAUUGACAUAGUGAUUAAGCCACUGGAAGAUGCCAGAAUCUUAGCUACAUCAUAGCUCUCAUUGGCUUAGUGGCACCAGUGGUAGCUCCAAUGGGAAUUUCCCUCCAGUGUUCCCUGUUAUGGACACAGCCUAUGGCUUUAGACCACAUUUUCUCCUUUGUCAAAAGAAACAGUUAAUGUGAUGGUAAAUCUGCCUUCUACAUUCUUAAAGUGUAAAGUUAUAUCACAUCUGUAUUAUUUUUUUAAAUCAUCUAUUGGAUUUGUUUGUUCAAGUUAAUCAAAAUGGUGUGUUAUUGUUAUGCAGUGAUGCCAAAACAUUUCACCAGAGACUUCAUCAAUAUGUUUGGUGCCUUGCCCAGUUUCAUGUGGUUUUACUUUUCCCCCCUCUUGUGGAAGAAGGCACAUAGUGAUCUUAGGAUUUUAAUACAACCAAAGAUCAGGCCUUAGAAAGAUUCCCUUAACCAAUGGAAAAAGAGAUAAUAAAGACUGCUGAGGACAA
This is a long non-coding RNA of Dermochelys coriacea (leatherback sea turtle), 1861 nucleotides long. RefSeq lists it as uncharacterized. The record is from RefSeq and is a predicted model, not a curated record. NCBI's taxonomy places the organism in Eukaryota, Metazoa, Chordata, Testudines, Dermochelyidae. The transcript has 3 exons.